CACUCCUGCGGGAGGCAGCAGUGGGGAAUAUUGGACAAUGGGCGCAAGCCUGAUCCAGCCAUGCCGCGUGAGUGAUGAAGGCCCUAGGGUUGUAAAGCUCUUUCACCGGUGAAGAUAAUGACGGUAACCGGAGAAGAAGCCCCGGCUAACUUCGUGCCAGCAGCCGCGGUAAUACGAAGGGGGCUAGCGUUGUUCGGAUUUACUGGGCGUAAAGCGCACGUAGGCGGACUAUUAAGUCAGGGGUGAAAUCCCGGGGCUCAACCCCGGAACUGCCUUUGAUACUGGUAGUCUUGAGUUCGAGAGAGGUGAGUGGAAUUCCGAGUGUAGAGGUGAAAUUCGUAGAUAUUCGGAGGAACACCAGUGGCGAAGGCGGCUCACUGGCUCGAUACUGACGCUGAGGUGCGAAAGCGUGGGGAGCAAACAGGAUUAGAUACCCCGGUAGUCCCA
RNAcentral lists this ribosomal RNA (447 nucleotides) under uncultured organism. RNAcentral describes it as "partial 16S ribosomal RNA". It matches the Rfam family "Bacterial small subunit ribosomal RNA", at positions 334 to 797 of the family's 1533-position model. The record is from RNAcentral.